UACGAAGGGGGCGAGCGUUGUCCGGAAUUAUUGGGCGUAAAGAGCUCGUAGGCGGUGUGUCGCGUCGGCCGUGAAAACCUGCAGCUUAACUGUGGGCUUGCGGUCGAUACGGGCAUCACUGGAGUUCGGCAGGGGAGACUGGAAUUCCCGGUGUAGCGGUGAAAUGCGCAGAUAUCGGGAAGAACACCCGUGGCGAAGGCGGCUCUCUGGGACGGUACUGACGCUGAGACGCGAAAGCGUGGGGAGCGAACAGG
This 254-nucleotide ribosomal RNA is filed under the name uncultured bacterium. Its description in RNAcentral is "partial 16S ribosomal RNA". It matches the Rfam family "Bacterial small subunit ribosomal RNA", at positions 524 to 776 of the family's 1533-position model. The record is from RNAcentral.